Molecule: ribosomal RNA, 219 nt
Filed under: uncultured Candidatus Accumulibacter sp.
Lineage: Bacteria; Pseudomonadati; Pseudomonadota; Betaproteobacteria
Description: partial 16S ribosomal RNA
Rfam family: Bacterial small subunit ribosomal RNA
Source: RNAcentral
UUCUGGAGUUUGGCAGAGGGGGGUAGAAUUCCACGUGUAGCAGUGAAAUGUUAGAGAUGUGGAGGAAUACCGAUGGCGAAGGCAGCCCCCUGGGCCAAUACUGACGCUCAUGCACGAAAGCGUGGGGAGCAAACAGGAUUAGAUACCCUGGUAGUCCACGCCCUAAACGAUGUCAACUAGGUGUUGGAGGGGUUAAACCUUUUAGUGCCGUAGCUAACG